GAUGAAGAACGUAGUGAAAUGCGAUAAGUAAUGUGAAUUGCAGAAUUCAGUGAAUCAUCGAAUCUUUGAACGCACAUUGCGCCCGCCAGUAUUCUGGCGGGCAUGCCUGUUCGAGCGUCAUUUCAACCCUCAGGCCCACAGUGCCUGGUGUUGGGGAUCGGCAGCAGGGCGUCAAGCCCGCCGGCCCCGAAAUCUAGUGGCGGUCUCGCUGUAGUCCUCCUCUGCGUAGUAGCACAACCUCGCAGUUGGAACGCGGCGGUGGCCAUGCCGUUAAACACCCCACUUCUGAAAGUUGACCUCGGAUCAGGUAGGAAUACCCGCUGAACUUAAGCAUAUCAAUAAGCGGAGGA
RNAcentral lists this unclassified non-coding RNA (350 nucleotides) under soil metagenome. RNAcentral's name for it is "partial contains 5.8S ribosomal RNA, internal transcribed spacer 2, and large subunit ribosomal RNA". The stretch from base 1 to 120 matches the Rfam family "5.8S ribosomal RNA", at positions 35 to 154 of the family's 154-position model. The record is from RNAcentral.